GAUGAAGAACGUAGCGAAAUGCGAUAAGUAAUGUGAAUUGCAGAAUUCAGUGAAUCAUCGUAUCUUUGAACGCACAUUGCGCCCGCCAGUAUUCUGGCGGGCAUGCCUGUUCGAGCGUCAUUACAACCCUCAGGCCCCCGGGCCUGGCGUUGGGGAUCGGCGGAAGCCCCCUGUGGGCACACGCCGUCCCUCAAAUACAGUGGCGGUCCCGCCGCAGCUUCCAUUGCGUAGUAGCUAACACCUCGCAACUGGAGAGCGGCGCGGCCAUGCCGUAAAACACCCAACUUCUGAAUGUUGACCUCGAAUCAGGUAGGAAUACCCGCUGAACUUAAGCAUAUCAAUAAGCGGAGGA
RNAcentral lists this unclassified non-coding RNA (352 nucleotides) under soil metagenome. RNAcentral's name for it is "partial contains 5.8S ribosomal RNA, internal transcribed spacer 2, and large subunit ribosomal RNA". The stretch from base 1 to 120 matches the Rfam family "5.8S ribosomal RNA", at positions 35 to 154 of the family's 154-position model. The record is from RNAcentral.